Molecule: ribosomal RNA, 406 nt
Filed under: uncultured bacterium
Lineage: Bacteria
Description: partial 16S ribosomal RNA
Rfam family: Bacterial small subunit ribosomal RNA
Source: RNAcentral
AUUGAACGCUGGCGGCAGGCCUAACACAUGCAAGUCGAGCGAGCGGCGGACGGGUGAGUAAUGUAUGGGGAUCUGCCCGAUAGAGGGGGAUAACUACUGGAAACGGUGGCUCAUACCGCAUACUAUCGGAUGAACCCAUAUGGGAUUAGCUAGUAGGGGGGGUAAAGGCUCACCCAGGCGACGAUCCCUAGCUGGGCUGAGAGGAUGACCAGCCACACUGGGACUGAGACACGGCCCAGACUCCUACGGGAGGCAGCAGUGGGGAAUAUUGCACAAUGGGCGCAAGCCUGAUGCAGCCAUGCCGCGUGUAUGAAGAAGGCCUUAGGGUUGUAAAGUACUUUCAGCGGGUAGGCGUUACCCGCAGAAGAAGCACCGGCUAACGCCGUGCCAGCAGCCGCGGUAAUAC